GCUUGAAAAGCUCAUUAUUGGCAAUAAUGUAUUUUUGGAUUGAUCGAAAGAAAUCUAGUUUUUUCCCUUUCAGUAAUUAGUUGAUUUUUCAAAUCCUAGUCCAAAGAGCUCUCUCAUUGAAUAAUCUAAACUCUUCAUACUACCUUCUAUUCUUUAUCGAUCUCAUCAUCUCAAGACUUAAAGAAGCCAUUUAUGUUUGGUUUAGAAGGAAUGAAUCGUAUGUAGAGGGAGUGUGAAUAGAUACCCCACAUUUUUCGUUAUGUAAAAACAAGUUUUUCAAAAAUUGUUUUGCAAGAUUAUGUGUGGCAUGAUAUCAUAUAUGAAAUUAACCGUUAAAGAAAAUUGCAAAACACGGUGAUUAAGGUAAGGAAAGAUACAAAUAUUCAAUUAGUUUAUUUGAUUGAUAUGAUCAACGAAUUGAUGAUUAUUUUUUUCAUUUUUAUUUUUUAUUGACAAAAGAUGAUUAUUUGUUAAGUUGAUUAAUACAAUUAAAGAACUAUGAAUAUGGUAAACCAAUUAACCAAAUUUUAUCAAAAUAAAAAACCACACAAUUAAGCUGAAUAUAUGAAGAAGAAAAUAAGGUAAUUUUGAUUCAAAAAUUGAUUCAGUGAAGAAUUUCAGAACGCCUUUUUGUAGAUUUGAAGGGGGCAAACAUGAAGACCUAUUUCUAGCUAAGUCUCCCAAAAUUUCUGCAGAGCAAAAUUCCACCAAGGAAAAAAGAGAUAUUUUAAUUUAUAGAUGUUCAUUAACACCAUUCAAUAAUAAUGGUAGCAUAUAACAAUGACAUCGUUAUCAAUAAAAAAAAUUGGAGA
RNAcentral lists this long non-coding RNA (812 nucleotides) under Medicago truncatula (barrel medic). RNAcentral's name for it is "lncRNA gene23402". The record is from RNAcentral. Lineage: Eukaryota; Viridiplantae; Streptophyta; Magnoliopsida; Fabales; Fabaceae.